AACGAGCGUUGGCGGCGUGGAUUAGGCAUGCAAGUCGAACGCGAAUCCCUGGGCAACUGGGGAGGAGAGUGGCGAAAGGGGCAGUAAGGCGUGGGUAACCUACCCUCCGGGCCGGGAUAGCUUCGGGAAACUGAAGGUAAUACCGGGCGACGCAGCGAGAUCGCAUGGUCUUGCUGCCAAAGGUCCGCCGCCGGGGGAGGGGCUCACGUGGUAUUAGCUAGACGGCGGGGUAACGGCCCACCGUGGCAAAGAUGCCUAGCAGGUGUGAGAGCACGACCUGCGCCACUGGCACUGAGACACUGGCCAGACACCUACGGGUGGCUGCAGUCGAGGAUCUUCGGCAAUGGGCGCAAGCCUGACCGAGCGACGCCGCGUGUGCGAUGAAGGCCUUCGGGUUGUAAAGCACUGUCGAGGGGGAGGAAGCCGCAAGGUUGACCUAUCCCUGGAGGAAGCACGGGCUAAGUUCGUG
RNAcentral lists this ribosomal RNA (469 nucleotides) under uncultured bacterium. Its description in RNAcentral is "partial 16S ribosomal RNA". It matches the Rfam family "Bacterial small subunit ribosomal RNA", at positions 28 to 507 of the family's 1533-position model. The record is from RNAcentral.